AUACGGAGGAUCCGAGCGUUAUCCGGAUUUAUUGGGUUUAAAGGGAGCGUAGGCGGACUAUUAAGUCAGCUGUGAAAGUUUGCGGCUCAACCGUAAAAUUGCAGUUGAUACUGGUCGUCUUGAGUGCAGUAGAGGUAGGCGGAAUUCGUGGUGUAGCGGUGAAAUGCUUAGAUAUCACGAAGAACUCCGAUUGCGAAGGCAGCUUACUGGACUGUAACUGACGCUGAUGCUCGAAAGUGUGGGUAUCAAACAGGAUUAGAUACCCUGGUAGUCCACACAGUAAACGAUGAAUACUCGCUGUUUGCGAUAUACAGUAAGCGGCCAAGCGAAAGCGUUAAGUAUUCCACCUGGGGAGUACGCCGGCAACGGUGAAACUCAAAUGAAUUGACGGGG
RNAcentral lists this ribosomal RNA (393 nucleotides) under uncultured bacterium. Its description in RNAcentral is "partial 16S ribosomal RNA". It matches the Rfam family "Bacterial small subunit ribosomal RNA", at positions 523 to 918 of the family's 1533-position model. The record is from RNAcentral.